Molecule: long non-coding RNA, 133 nt
Organism: Salarias fasciatus (jewelled blenny)
Lineage: Eukaryota; Metazoa; Chordata; Actinopteri; Blenniiformes; Blenniidae
Exons: 4
Source: RefSeq, a predicted model, not a curated record
GCUCAUGUAAUUUAGAUAUUAAAAUGUCGAUACAUACCAUCGGUGACCACUAGGUGUCACUGUAUGACGACAGAAAGGUGCUACAGUACCACAGAAAAACCUUCGUUACUAAUGCGUUUGACUGACGGAGCAA